This 472-nucleotide ribosomal RNA is filed under the name Pseudomonas sp. enrichment culture clone S6. RNAcentral describes it as "bacterial SSU rRNA". It matches the Rfam family "Bacterial small subunit ribosomal RNA", at positions 57 to 524 of the family's 1533-position model. Lineage: Bacteria; Pseudomonadati; Pseudomonadota; Gammaproteobacteria; Pseudomonadales; Pseudomonadaceae. The record is from RNAcentral.
GCAGUCGAGCGGAUGAGUGGAGCUUGCUCCAUGAUUCAGCGGCGGACGGGUGAGUAAUGCCUAGGAAUCUGCCUGGUAGUGGGGGACAACGUUUCGAAAGGAACGCUAAUACCGCAUACGUCCUACGGGAGAAAGCAGGGGACCUUCGGGCCUUGCGCUAUCAGAUGAGCCUAGGUCGGAUUAGCUAGUUGGUGGGGUAAAGGCCUACCAAGGCGACGAUCCGUAACUGGUCUGAGAGGAUGAUCAGUCACACUGGAACUGAGACACGGUCCAGACUCCUACGGGAGGCAGCAGUGGGGAAUAUUGGACAAUGGGCGAAAGCCUGAUCCAGCCAUGCCGCGUGUGUGAAGAAGGUCUUCGGAUUGUAAAGCACUUUAAGUUGGGAGGAAGGGCAGUAAGUUAAUACCUUGCUGUUUUGACGUUACCAACAGAAUAAGCACCGGCUAACUUCGUGCCAGCCGCCGCGGGUAAU